Small nuclear RNA from Otolemur garnettii (small-eared galago), 107 nucleotides. The record is from Ensembl. Lineage: Eukaryota; Metazoa; Chordata; Mammalia; Primates; Galagidae.
GUGCUCACUUUGGCAGGACAUAUAAUAAAAUUGGAAUGAUACAGAGAAGAUUAGCAUGGCCCCUGCACAAAAAUGACAUGCAAAUUCGUGAAGUGUUCCAUUUUUGA